Long non-coding RNA from Bombyx mori (domestic silkworm), 1220 nucleotides. RefSeq lists it as uncharacterized. The transcript has 2 exons. NCBI's taxonomy places the organism in Eukaryota, Metazoa, Arthropoda, Insecta, Lepidoptera, Bombycidae. The record is from RefSeq and is a predicted model, not a curated record.
ACAAUAAUUACUAAGAAGGUUAUGUAUGUACAUCCUUAAAAAAAUGAAUUACUUAUAAAUCUUCAGAUGGGACCUUUUAAAAAAAUAAUAUCUCUUGACUAAUACAUACAGGUUUUCGCGGUUCAUUUUGCGAAAAAGAAAUUGAUUCUAGGUUUAAGAGGGAAAUUGUGGGACAAAACCAUUGAGUGAAAAUAUAAGAAAUUAUUAGAAGGCGUAAUGAUAAUGGAGUUCAUAUUAUUGAAUGUGAGUUUUUGGUGUAUUUAAAUGAUUGGAAGGUAAGUGGAGGAAGAAUAAUUGCUAAGAUACACUGGACUGAUAAUGUUCAGAAUAUAACUGCAUUGUUAUGCAGAAUUCUUGCAGUACUAGUCUACAAUUUACAAUCGAAUUGCAAACUCCAAAAUGAGUCCAAAUAAAAGAGGUGAAAAGCUCAGUAUUGAUGUUACAGAUAUAACACAAGAUUCUUGGCCUUCAUUCUGUUUACUUGUGCAAAUAUCUUUAAAUCAAUAAUAUAAUAAAUAUGCUGUAUUUAAAGCUUAGCGAGAGUUCUAAUAUGUAUGCACUAAUGAAAAUUUAUUACAAAAAGUAUCAAUUCUUAAUAUGAUAAUUCACAUAUUUUGCUUUAUAGAGCUUUAGAUGUUGACAAUGUACACUGAGAAGCUGCUAUAUGUACACCAAAUCGUUUGAUGAAGUAAACCACAAAAUUGUUAAUAAAUGUUCUAUGAUUGAGUUCCUUAAUUCAUUCUUGGUCAACAGACACUCAGCUGUUGAAAUUGAUAAUUAUAAUUCAAGUUUCAGAAUCCUUCAUAGUACGUUUUGGAGUACACCAACACUAAUUUAGAUAUUUGGUAAUAUUUUUAUUUUCUUUGCGGUGCCGUGGAAAACCUCACAGUCUACUUGGUGUUCAGUACUUACCGGCUCCAUAGACUUUGACAACAUAAAUGCCAGCAUGCACAUUGAGAGUUCGAAGAAGAAUUAUAUUAUCUAACUGUUGUAAACUUUACCAUAAUCUUUACUACCUCAUACUAUAACUGACGAAUCAAGCUCAAUUGGGUUUUUCUGUAUCUUAGUGUCUCAUUUUUAUUUUUGAUCACCAGUCAUCGCUUGCCCACAUAAAAGUGGUCUAAUUUUAAAUUUGGUAACUUUACUAUUUCAAUGUUCACAUUGUUACUAAUAUUAUGAUGAUUUUGAACUUACUUUAAAUAAAGGUUUUUCAAUUAAGA